CGAACUAGCACUAACUGCACCAAGUUCACUGGAAAAGACACAUUUGGGAUUCAAAUAUAAAAGUUUAAGAGUUCACCACAACACAACAAAAAACACAACACACACAUCGCCUCUUUCAUUAAACAAUUCGAAAAUCACAAAAUAUUUCUGCUCUCUGUGUCAUUGUUUUCUCCGGCACAAAGAAGAGCACCUCUGCUCAGAUGCCAAUUUAAGGAAUGUUUUAGGUUCAUUGAGCUGCAUUUUCUAAUUCUAUGUUAUGAAAGUUUUCAUUUUAAUCCAUUUAUAAGCCCUUUCUAAGGUACCCUUUUCUUGUCAGGUUCUGAAAAUCCGAGAAAAUACAGUUCCAGUACACCUAAAUUUGUUUAUUCUCAGCCCAACAACCGAAAACUUAUUUUACUAAUUACCCAGGUCAUACAUUUCGAUUUGUUGAGCAAAUGCACUUCCUGUGACCUCAAAAAUUCAUAGAAUUUUUGCUUUAAGGGAAAGGGAAAAGGGUUCAUGCUCUUUUUCACUUUCUCAUUUGGAUCAUCACAGGAAUUGUUUUGUUUUGUCAAUUCUGAUCCGCACCAUCCCAAUUAGUGUAAUCAACUUCUUACCAAAAAUGUCUGAAUCCAAUCCAAACAUUCCCUUGAUUCCACAGCUGUCCUCGCGAAACCUCCCUGAUUUCAAACAAUCUGUGAAGCUGAAAUAUGUGAAACUUGGCUACCAUUACCUCAUCACCCAUGGAAUGUACCUGUUUUUGUCGCCUUUGAUUGUUCUAAUAGCAGCGCAACUCUCUACAUUCUCAUUUCAAGAUGUCUAUGACCUGUGGAACCAACUCCAGUUCAAUCUCAUAUCUGCGAUACUUUGCUCAACUCUCCUUGUCUUUCUAUCAACCCUUUAUGUUCUUACUCGUCCCCGCCCAAUCUACCUUGUUGAUUUCUCGUGCUAUAAGCCAGAGGAUGCCCGGAAAUGCACAAGGCAGGCGUUCAUGAAUCGGUCCUGUUUGACAGGGACAUUCACUGAGGAAAACCUCGAGUUCCAACGGAAAAUUAUAGAGAGGUCAGGUCUUGGAGAGUCAACUUAUCUUCCUGAAGCGGUUUUGAGAAUUCCUCCAAACCCAUCAAUGGCAGAGGCAAGGAAAGAAGCUGAGAUGGUAAUGUUUGGUGCCCUUGAUCAGCUUUUUGAGAAAACACGUUUGAAACCAAAAGACAUUGGGAUUUUGAUCGUGAAUUGUAGCUUGUUUAAUCCAACACCGUCGCUCUCUGCCAUGAUCAUUAACCGUUACAAGCUUCGAGGGAAUAUCAUUAAUUAUAAUCUGGGUGGAAUGGGUUGUAGUGCUGGUUUGAUCUCAAUUGAUCUUGCUAAAGAUCUUCUUCAAGUUCAUCCCAAUUCGUAUGCUUUGGUGAUUAGCAUGGAGAAUAUCACUUUGAAUUGGUAUUUUGGGAAUGAUAGAUCGAUGCUUGUUUCGAAUUGUUUGUUUCGAAUGGGAGGGGCUGCAAUUUUGCUUACAAACAAGAGGUCUGAACAAUGUCGAUCCAAGUAUCGAUUAGUUCAUACAGUUCGUACCCACAAAGGAGCUGAUGAUAAGUGCUUCUCUUGUGUUACUCAACAAGAGGAUUCCACUGGGAGGAUUGGAGUUUCUUUGUCUAAGGAUCUAAUGGCAGUUGCUGGGGAUGCUUUAAAGACUAAUAUAACAACAUUGGGUCCUCUUGUGUUGCCUAUGUCUGAACAAUUGCUCUUCUUUGCUACGUUGGUUGGAAAAAAAAUUUUCAAGAUGAAAGUGAAGCCAUACAUCCCAGAUUUCAAACUGGCUUUUGAGCAUUUCUGCAUUCAUGCCGGAGGAAGAGCUGUGCUGGAUGAAUUGGAGAAGAACUUGCAGCUUUCGGAUUGGCAUAUGGAACCUUCAAGGAUGACACUCAACCGUUUUGGCAACACCUCAAGUAGCUCUCUUUGGUAUGAAUUGGCUUAUACAGAAGCCAAGGGGAGAGUGAAGAAGGGAGACAGAAUAUGGCAGAUAGCGUUUGGAUCCGGGUUCAAAUGUAACAGUGCAGUUUGGAAGUCUCUAAAGACUGUGAAUCCAGCAAAGGAGAACCCAUGGAUGGAUGAGAUUCAUCAGUUCCCAGUGAAUGUUCCUAAGAUCUCGACCAUCUGAAUGCGACGGUGACAGGUCCUCUGCUCUUUGAGUGGUGAAUCCUUCUUGUUUUUUUUGUUUCAAUGGGGAUCCAGAUUAUGGUUUUUUAUUUCUUAUUUUAGGUUGGAAAGGUGCUAGGACUGGUGUAUUUUCGUUUUCUAAAUCUUUCUUUUGGUAUUUGUUUCCAGAUUCCAGACUAGGAGAAGGUGUUUUCACGUUAUCUUGGAAGUCCAUGGCAGUAGAUUGAGGGAGAAAAUGGGCAUUUGCACAUAAUUUACAAACUAUGCAGCAAAAUGCCUCUGUUUUUUAAACUCGAUUUUAACAAAAUUGAGUUCUAUGUUUAUGUAUACUUUUAAGUUAGCAAUGUCGAGUUCCACUUAAAUUUUUUUAAAAAUCUAAGUGGCAAAAUAUGCAUAGAACUCGACAUUGCUAAUGUCGAGUUUCACUUGUGACUCGAUUUUGUUGAAGUCAAGUUUAAAAAAUAGAGAUAUUUUGCUAAAUAGUUUCAAAACAAGAGCAUUUUGCUGCAUAAUUUGUAAAUUAAGGGCAAAUGCCCAUUUUUUCCUAGAUAUUGAGAUCAAUAAUUUUUGAAGGGAAUGGAACUUUGAUCAUUGUCUUCAUCUGGAUAUUUUGAAUUGCUAUCACGAUCAUCAAAUAGCAAUCAUGAAUAUCACUUACCGCGGAUAAUAUAACUCU
Molecule: RNA transcript, 2809 nt
Organism: Quercus lobata
Lineage: Eukaryota; Viridiplantae; Streptophyta; Magnoliopsida; Fagales; Fagaceae
Gene name: 3-ketoacyl-CoA synthase 11-like
Exons: 3
Source: RefSeq, a predicted model, not a curated record